Thalassophryne amazonica is the source of this 148-nucleotide long non-coding RNA. RefSeq lists it as uncharacterized. The transcript has 3 exons. NCBI's taxonomy places the organism in Eukaryota, Metazoa, Chordata, Actinopteri, Batrachoidiformes, Batrachoididae. The record is from RefSeq and is a predicted model, not a curated record.
AAUGUGUGUGUGUGUGUGUGUGUAUAUGUCAGGUGAGUCUCUAACCAGGGCCAACAGUCACGUCAGUGGAGUGUUUGUUAAUAAUCUUAAUCUUGCUGGCAAAGCCAUUCUUCUCUACAAUGCAUUGUGCAGCAUCGGCCAUAGGCUU